UACGGAAGGGGCAAGCGUUGUUCGGAAUCAUUGGGCGUAAAGGGCGCGUAGGUGGUCUUGUGUGUCUACCGUGAAAGCGUACGGCUCAACCGUAUUUAGUCGGUAGAAACUGCAGGACUUGAGGCUGGGAGGGGCUGGUGGAAUUCCCUGUGUAGCGGUGAAAUGCGUAGAGAUGGGGGAGAACACUCGUGGCGAAGGCGGCCAGCUGGACCAGUUCUGACACUGAGGCGCGAUAGCGUGGGGAGCAAGCAGG
RNAcentral lists this ribosomal RNA (253 nucleotides) under uncultured bacterium. RNAcentral describes it as "partial 16S ribosomal RNA". It matches the Rfam family "Bacterial small subunit ribosomal RNA", at positions 524 to 776 of the family's 1533-position model. The record is from RNAcentral.